AGGGUUUGAUUCUGGCUCAGGAUGAACGCUGGCGGCGUGCUUAACACAUGCAAGUCGAACGGAGUAAGAAAGCUUGCUUUUUUACUUAGUGGCGGACGGGUGAGUAACGCGUGAGCAAUCUGCCCAUACCAGGGGAAUAACACAUAGAAAUGUGUGCUAAUACCGCAUAAGACCACAGAGAGGCAUCUCUCAGUGGUAAAAGAUUUAUCGGGUAUGGAUGAGCUCGCGUCCCAUUAGAUAGUUGGUGAGGUAACGGCCCACCAAGUCUGCGAUGGGUAGCCGACCUGAGAGGGUGAUCGGCCACAUUGGAACUGAGAAACGGUCCAG
RNAcentral lists this ribosomal RNA (327 nucleotides) under uncultured bacterium. RNAcentral's name for it is "bacterial SSU rRNA". It matches the Rfam family "Bacterial small subunit ribosomal RNA", at positions 8 to 334 of the family's 1533-position model. The record is from RNAcentral.